GUAACCGGUGUUCUGGUAGGUACGGGGAUUCAUAAACUGCGAUAACCAUCGCUAAUGAAGUGAAUUGUCGCAUGCCUUUUUUACCAACCAAUCAGAGGACACUUGGCAGUCCAGCGGGUCACAUUUUGAACGAGACAAUCUGUUGGUGGAAAACAGAAGAAAGACUUGCAAAAUGCGACCCGCUGUAAAACGCGACCAGAGAUGCAAAAUGCUGAACAUCUGUCAGGCGCUUUUUCCAAAAAGUCAAGAUUGAAAGCAAAAGAAUCGAGAAGAAUGGAUCCAGCCCAGCAGGUUACAAAAGAAAACAAACAAGUAAUGUUCUGUGGAGAUUUCAACCUAGGAUUGUCAAGGUGCUUUCAAUGCAGUUUAAAGAGAGUAAAAUACAGCAAAGCAGAGUGAGGUUAUAAACAGAACAAUUAAACAGAAAUGUCUUGACAAACUAGUAAAUUAAGCAUAGUUGAUGAAGAUGUAGUAUACAAAGAUUGUGACUUUAUCAAAUGUGAAUCACAUGAAACUUGAUUUGCUCUCUACAGAUCUACUUCUUGAACUCUUAUUUGGUAGAAGGUCCUACAAUAUCCUUUAUUAGGAUCCUGAACAGAUCAUAUACAGGAUCCUGAUUAGAUCAUAUACAGGAUCCUGAUUAGAUCCUAUACAGGAUCCUGAUAAGAUCAUAUAUAGGAUCCUGAACAGAUCAUAUGCAGGAUCCUGACAAGAUCAUAUAUAGGAUCCUGAACAGAUCAUAUACAGGAUCCUGAUUAGAUCAUAUACAGGAUCCUGAUUAGAUCCUAUACAGGAUCUUAAAAAUAUCCUGUCCAAGACCCGAAUCAUUUCCUACAGGAUCUUGAUGAGAUCCUAUUCAGGACC
Non-coding RNA from Rhopilema esculentum, 864 nucleotides. The record is from RefSeq and is a predicted model, not a curated record. NCBI's taxonomy places the organism in Eukaryota, Metazoa, Cnidaria, Scyphozoa, Rhizostomeae, Rhizostomatidae.